Molecule: ribosomal RNA, 721 nt
Filed under: uncultured bacterium
Lineage: Bacteria
Description: bacterial SSU rRNA
Rfam family: Bacterial small subunit ribosomal RNA
Source: RNAcentral
AUUGAACGGCUGCGGAAUGCUUUACACAUGCAAGUCGAACGGCAGCACGGAGAGCUUGCUCUCUGGUGGCGAGUGGCGAACGGGUGAGUAAUAUAUCGGAACGUAUCCAAUAAUGGGGGAUAACGAGUCGAAAGAUUCGCUAAUACCGCAUACGCCCUACGGGGGAAAGCAGGGGAUCGUAAGACCUUGCGUUAAUGGAGCGGCCGAUAUCUGAUUAGCUUGUUGGUGAGGUAAAGGCUCACCAAGGCGACGAUCAGUAGCUGGUUUGAGAGAACGACCAGCCACACUGGAACUGAGACACGGUCCAGACUCCUACGGGAGGCAGCAGUGGGGAAUUUUGGACAAUGGGGGCAACCCUGAUCCAGCCAUUCCGCGUGAGUGAAGAAGGCCUUCGGGUUGUAAAGCUCUUUCGCAAGGGAAGAAAACUUAUGAUCGAAUAAAUCAUGAGGUUGACGGUACCUUGAUAAGAAGCACCGGCUAACUACGUGCCAGCAGCCGCGGUAAUACGUAGGGUGCGAGCGUUAAUCGGAAUUACUGGGCGUAAAGCGUGCGCAGGCGGUUUUGUAAGUCGGAUGUGAAAUCCCCGGGCUCAACCUGGGAACUGCGUUCGAAACUGCAAGGCUAGAGUGUGUCAGAGGGGGGUAGAAUUCCACGUGUAGCAGUGAAAUGCGUAGAGAUGUGGAGGAAUACCAAUGGCGAAGGCAGCCCCCUGGGAUAACAC